RNAcentral lists this long non-coding RNA (267 nucleotides) under Elaeis guineensis (African oil palm). RNAcentral's name for it is "long non-coding RNA (EGUI_LNC069178)". Lineage: Eukaryota; Viridiplantae; Streptophyta; Magnoliopsida; Arecales; Arecaceae. The record is from RNAcentral.
UGUGCUCCAAGGUCUCCUCGUCGGCCAAACAACAGGAACACUCCAGCUAGAUAUCCAUACCUUGGCCCCGAAGAAGGGUUCUGGUCGGUAGCCAACACCAAGCCACCUUUCAGAGAAAAAGAUGCACUCUUGGGUGCACUCUCAUCCUCCAUAUCCAUCCAAGCUCUAUGUAUCUUCUUGCUUCACUCUGAUAAAUCUGAUAGAGAUCAGCCAUCACGACCCUCGAAAUAUAAGAGUGGCCCCAAACCUUGACAUCUGAACUACCAA